Molecule: ribosomal RNA, 253 nt
Filed under: uncultured bacterium
Lineage: Bacteria
Description: partial 16S ribosomal RNA
Rfam family: Bacterial small subunit ribosomal RNA
Source: RNAcentral
UACGUAGGGUGCAAGCGUUAAUCGGAAUUACUGGGCGUAAAGGGCGCGUAGGCGGUACUUCAAGUCAGGCGUGAAAGCCCCGGGCUCAACCUGGGAACCGCGCUUGAGACUGGAGAACUAGAGUUCGGGAGAGGAUGGUGGAAUUCCCAGUGUAGAGGUGAAAUUCGUAGAUAUUGGGAAGAACACCGAUGGCGAAGGCAGCCAUCUGGACCGACACUGACGCUGAGGCGCGAAAGCGUGGGGAGCAAACAGG